RNAcentral lists this ribosomal RNA (269 nucleotides) under uncultured prokaryote. RNAcentral describes it as "partial 16S ribosomal RNA". It matches the Rfam family "Bacterial small subunit ribosomal RNA", at positions 524 to 792 of the family's 1533-position model. The record is from RNAcentral.
UACGGAGGUGGCAAGCGUUGUUCGGAUUUAUUGGGUGUAAAGGGUAUGUAGGUGUCCUGAUAAGUCAAAUGUGAAAGCCCUUGGCUCAACCAAGGAACUGCAUUCGAUACUGUCAGGAUUGAGUAUGGGAGAGGAGAGUGGAAUUCCCGGUGUAAGGGUGAAAUCUGUAGAUAUCGGGAGGAACACCAGUGGCGAAGGCGGCUCUCUGGCCCAAUACUGACACUGAAAUACGAAAGCUACGGGAGCAAACAGGAUUAGAUACCCCCGUA